RNAcentral lists this ribosomal RNA (497 nucleotides) under uncultured bacterium. RNAcentral's name for it is "partial 16S ribosomal RNA". It matches the Rfam family "Bacterial small subunit ribosomal RNA", at positions 28 to 507 of the family's 1533-position model. The record is from RNAcentral.
GAUGAACGCUGGCGGCGUGCCUAAUACAUGCAAGUCGAGCGAACAGACGAGGAGCUUGCUCCUCUGACGUUAGCGGCGGACGGGUGAGUAACACGUGGAUAACCUACCUAUAAGACUGGGAUAACGUCGGGAAACCGGAGCUAAUACCGGAUAAUAUAUUGAACCGCAUGGUUCAAUAGUGAAAGACGGUUUUGCUGUCACGUAUAGAUGGAUCCGCGCCGCAUAAGCGAGUUGGUAAGGUAACGGCUUACCAAGGCACCGAUGCGUAGCCGACCUGAGAGGGUGAAUGUCCACCCGGGAUGUGAGACACAGUAGACACUCCUACGGUAGGCCGCAGUCGAGACUCUUCCGCGAUGGGCGAAAGCGUAACAGAGCAACGCGACGUGAGUGAUGAAGGUCUUCUGCUCGUAGAACUCUGUUAUUCGGGAAGAACAAAUGUGUUAGUAACUGUGCACGUCAUGACGGUACCUAAUGAGAAAGCCACGGCUAACUACGUG